CUACGGGCCGCAGCAGGCGAGAAAACUUUGCAAUGUGCGAAAGCACGACAAGGUUAAUCCGAGUGGUUUGUGCUAAACGAACCUUUUGAAAGUCUUAGAAACACUGUUGAAUAAGGGGUGGGCAAGUUCUGGUGUCAGCCGCCGCGGUAAAACCAGCACCUCAAGUGGUCAGGAUGAUUAUUGGGCCUAAAGCAUCCGUAGCCGGCUCUGUAAGUUUUCGGUUAAAUCUGUACGCUCAACGUACAGGCUGCCGGGAAUACUGCAGAGCUAGGGAGUGGGAGAGGUAGACGGUACUCGGUAGGAAGGGGUAAAAUCCUUUGAUCUAUUGAUGACCACCUGUGGCGAAGGCGGUCUACCAGAACACGUCCGACGGUGAGGGAUGAAAGCUGGGGGAGCAAACCGCAUUAGAUACCCCGGUAGUC
This 422-nucleotide ribosomal RNA is filed under the name uncultured archaeon. Its description in RNAcentral is "partial 16S ribosomal RNA". It matches the Rfam family "Archaeal small subunit ribosomal RNA", at positions 323 to 746 of the family's 1478-position model. The record is from RNAcentral.